ACCAACAGCUACAAAAUAUUGAAGUCCCAACUUUUAAAUUUUAUAAAUCUAAGUAGUUUACAAUAAUUUACAAACAUGAGUUAGGUAUUUAUGUGAAAAUAUUUUAAAACCAUGAUCAUGAUCCCCUUCUAAAAGGUGGGAAAUCAAACAUAACCACUAAUGAAAAUUUUUAAUCCUGCUGGGGGCAACAGUAACAUUGUUUCAGCUAAAUUGUCAGGAAAGGCAAGUCCACUAGGAACAAGUUGAUAACAACCAGCAACAACAGUCUCAACUCUCUUUUUCCCCUCAUCCAGGCCCCUCCCAGGAAAAACCAUAGGCUUGGAUUUUGGAGGGAGUGGUCCAAAUAGUGUAUCUUCACAUAAAGAUUGAUUGAGAAUUUAAAGUGAUCAGAUCGCGGUGGAAGAAUCGGGAAGGGAAGAAUCAAUAUAUGGUGAGCUCAAGCAAAGUGGAUCAGGUGAGCCUAUGUACUUUAGUUUACUGGGUAUUCAAUUCAUGUCAUAAACGUGACAAUUUAUUUAAAAUUUUAAGGAAACUAUAAUAACUUAAAGAAUAAUUUAACAAUAAAGUGGUCUCUUACGCUGUCUUCUAGAAUGCAGACUGUAAAUCAGUGUAUGUAAAUGCCAUAAAUGUACAGCUUUUUUUUUUUAUUCAAAGUACUCUCAUUUCUUUGCAUUCUUCAUGUUUAAAUUUCUUCAAAAUUUCCUUGGCUACUUUUUGACAAAUGAAGGUUCCACAAGACUUGAGUUGCUUCUUGUCGCAAGGAGAUCAUCCACAUACAAUGAGAUGAAAAGAACAUUAUCACCCAAAAAAAAAAAAAAAAAGAUGACAAGAACAUUAGCUCCAUAUUUCUUGACAUAAUCUUGACCUUGACAAACUUUUAGAAAACCUGAAGUUCAGCUAAUGUUCAUCAAUUCCACUGUACCAAGCUUUUCAAGAUGAUUUCAACCCUUAAGGAACCUUCUUGAGAAGAUAAACAUCAUUUUGUCAUACCGUACAAAGUUUUGGGGUUACUUAACAUAAUUUUUUCCUUGUAAGAAACCAUUUAAAAAUACUGAUUUAACAUCAAGUUGAUAAACUCUCCGAUUCUUUUGAGCGACUCCAGCAAGUAGUGACAUGAUAAUGCCCAAUUGAGCAACUGAUGCAAACGUACCUUAGUAAUCCACACCAAAAACUAGAGCAUAGCCCUUCAUCACGAAUCUUGACUUAUGUUUAUUAAUAGAACCGUCAACAUUAAGCUUAGUUCUGCGUACCCAUUUGACCCCUAUAUCCAGGCUCGCUCGCACAUAUACAACAAACGUUGCAUCUGUCAUAAAUAUCAAAGAGCAGUCUAGUACUAAUUACCGGAUCAUCAUCAAAUAACUAAUUGGCCAAAUUUUAUCUUUAUUUUCUUCUGAACUUGAUGCAGAAAAAUUUAAGUCCAUAUAUUUAGAAGCUUGAUCUGUCUUAUUUGGAACACCGCAUUUCAAUUCUUCAUCUUCCACAAAGUGCACAUCCCUGCUAACAACAAUGUUCAGAUUUUAAAUAAAUACGACACUGAAUUCCAGCGCAUUAUCCUUUUAAAAGAGAGAGUAUUUAUUUACCAUCAGAUCUCUCUAAUACUCCAAAAGACAACGAAGACCACAACGAAGAACGAGCAGAAUAUAAUAAUGCCUGUCAAUGGCUUUAACAAGUUUUUCAAGAAUUUAAUAUUUCUCCCAUACAUCAUCAACCUUAUAAACCACGAGAUUUAUAUUUUAUAAGCAUCGAAAGUUGGCAAACAGGUCUUUAAGGUAAACAGAGAGAGGGAGAAGAGAGGGAUGUAUAUUUAGAACAAUGAUAUAUGGACACUGCCAUAUUACAAACUUAUUUUGACAGUUUUUAUUUUUCUAUAUUCCCUCUUCUUGUUACACCUAUAAUAUCUAUAAUUUUCUCUAAUAAAAUUAUAGAUAUUAUGAUAUUAACCUUUUGUACAAACUAAUAAAAGUCAUGUUAAGUAGGGUACUGAGAUGUUUCUAUUCAAUCAUAAUCAUUAUUAGGAAAACUAUCCAUAGACACCUAUUACUAGAUGCCACUUAUGUUAUAAAAAGACAAUGAUAAAAAUAGAAAUAAGUAAUCAUAGAUGUUAACAAAGUAUUUGAUAUAACAAAGUGUUUUGUUCUAGUAGUUAUAAAAAGAUACAAUGGGUUGAUAUGGUAUUUCCAAAUUCAACUUUAAACAUCGUUGAUGAGUUGUUGUGCUGAUAUAUCAUGUUGUUUAAGUUGAAAGUUGAUUGAAAUGA
Long non-coding RNA from Cajanus cajan (pigeon pea), 2257 nucleotides. RefSeq lists it as uncharacterized. The record is from RefSeq and is a predicted model, not a curated record. NCBI's taxonomy places the organism in Eukaryota, Viridiplantae, Streptophyta, Magnoliopsida, Fabales, Fabaceae.